Molecule: non-coding RNA, 1004 nt
Organism: Oryctolagus cuniculus (rabbit)
Lineage: Eukaryota; Metazoa; Chordata; Mammalia; Lagomorpha; Leporidae
Source: RefSeq, a predicted model, not a curated record
CCAUGCUUGCAAGUAAAGCAGACCCUGGAAGAGACCAUGACCUUCAAAGUGCACCCUGCCUCCAAAGCAAGAACAAGCUCUUCAUCAGCAGUCAGAGGGAACCCCAGCGUUCAUGCUUCAGCAUGCGAGAUGGGGAUGACAGGCCUAGCUUAUAGAGCUAUUACAAGGAUUAAAGGAGACAAGUAUCCUGUGCCGUCUCGACAUUCAAAACGCAUUCAGGAAGUAUUUGUUGCUGCUGUUGCUACUGCUGCUGCUGUUCUGAUGAAAACCCUUCUGUCUCAAUCAGAGGCCAAUAGCAGAAGCAAAGUACCAGGAGACAGACAGAUACACCAUCACACAGAAUGAACCCAAGAGGCAAGGAUAGAAUAACUGCUGGGGCAAGAAGAAAACCGAGACCUGAAGAUGUACUGAUGGAAGACAACAGACGACAGCAAUUUCAAAAUGUGAACCCAGGAGUCCAGCCAGCCCAGCGAGGCCCAGCUCACCCUCUCCAGCUCAUGAUGAAGCAGGUUCAUUGUGUACUGGUUACCCCCUUGCCCGAGUCCAGUGAGACAGGACACACACACAUUACAGAAAGUGAAUUUUUACUUAUAAAUUGGCAGCUAGGACAAAGAACCCCAGGAUUCACGGCGAGCUGAUUGUCCAAGAUUCAGGAAGUUGCCCAGGCCAGGUGGAGUCUUACCUGUGUAUGCCCCAUUUGUACUGGAUCUGAGAGACCCCAGAAAACAGCCCUCCCCAGCCCCAGGCUUUAUAACUCAGGGGAAACUUAACUCACUAGGCAUUGAAAAACAUGCAAAUACUAGGAAGGCCAGCACUAGAGUCCAGGCUGUGCCAACCACUCCCUCCCCUGUCUCCAGAUACUGCAUUCCCAGCUCAUGCUACAGCAAUUCUUGAGAAAUACUUGUGAGCAAUGGGAGGAGAACCAUCUUGUAAUAUGGGACAAGUUUCUUAACCUUUCCUAAGCCUCACCAUUCUCAUUUGUAAGGUGAUCCACUCGAAGGGUA